GCACGGUGGAUGCCUUGGCACUAGGAGCCGAAGAAGGACGUGACAAACGACGAUAUGCCUUGGGUAGCUGUAAGUAAGCGAUGAUCCAGGGAUUUCCGAAUGGGGGAACCCAACAGGUACUACCUGUUACCCGCAUCUGUUAAGGAUGUGAGGAGGAAGACGCAGUGAACUGAAACAUCUAAGUAGCUGCAGGAAGAGAAAGCAAAAGCGAUUGCCUUAGUAGCGGCGAGCGAAGAGGCAGGAGGGCAAACCGAAGAGUUUACUCUUCGGGGUUGUAGGACUGCAAUGUGGACUCAGAAUUUAUAGAAGAAUGGCUUGGGAAAGUCAGCCAAAGAGAGUAAGAGCCUCGUAUUUUAAAUAGAUUCUGUACCUAGCAGUAUCCUGAGUACGGCGGGACACGAGAAAUCCCGUCGGAAUCUGGGAGGACCAUCUCCCAACCCUAAAUACUCCCUAGUGACCGAUAGUGAACCAGUACCGUGAGGGAAAGGUGAAAAGCACCCCGGGAGGGGAGUGAAAUAGAACCUGAAACCGUGUGCCUACAACAAGUUCGAGCCCGUUAAUGGGUGAGAGCGUGCCUUUUGUAGAAUGAACCGGCGAGUUACGUUAUGAUGCGAGGUUAAGUU
This 623-nucleotide ribosomal RNA is filed under the name Anophryoides haemophila. RNAcentral describes it as "partial Bacterial large subunit ribosomal RNA". It matches the Rfam family "Bacterial large subunit ribosomal RNA", at positions 19 to 652 of the family's 2925-position model. Lineage: Eukaryota; Ciliophora; Oligohymenophorea; Philasterida; Glauconematidae. The record is from RNAcentral.